AUACCGAUACCGGUCCGGUGCAUAGUUUCGCUUUACAUAACACGUGGUCGACGGUCGACGCUACACCAAAACCGUCGCGCCAAAAGCAUAUACACGCAUGCAUACAACCAAAACGAGCAAAUCGGGCUCGUCGUUUGCUGCUUGCUUAUGCGGAGACUUCAACACGCCCCAACAUCAGUUCGGCUCGCGCAAUGAACGGAAUCGGUUUACGAAUACGGGGACCGGUCGGGGAACGACGACGACAUUUUCCGUGUACACUUUUGGUGUUCUUGAUACUUCUAACAGCUGAUUGCCUGUUGGCGUCGAUCAAAUCGUUCGAAGAGCUAAGUGUACACACACUUACUGAUUCAGGAUCCCUCGACGAUUGCUCUCUGAGACUUCAAAAACUCUUCGAUCGGGAAGUUUCCACAUCGGUGGCAACAUUUUCGACCAACUCCAAGGAAUUUGCUCAUCUGGUUGCGAUCGGUUGGAAGCAGACAACCGGUGAAGUGGAGUGGCGUUGUUCCGGAACAUUGAUCGCAGAGGAUUUCGUACUAACGGCAGCCCAUUGUACUCAGGAUGAUGGCAAUGAACCAACGUCGAUUCGUGCCGGUGACCUAGAUUUAUACAGCUCGAAAGAUGAUCACUUUGCGCAACAGCUUGAUAUCACGGAAAUCAUCCGUCAUCCCGAGUUCAAUUUCAGCAGCGCGUAUCACGACGUCGCACUGAUCAAACUUGCAAAACCAGUGACCGUCACCGAUUUUGUCGUACCGGCUUGUUUGUACACGAACGAGUCUCUCUCAUUCCACAGACUCUAUGCAACCGGUUGGGAUUUUUACGCCGACGUUUCGCCACCAAUUUACAGCACUCCACUGAAGCUUAUUGAUCAAGACCGCUGCAAAUUUUUGUACCGCGAUUUCAAAGAUGCUUUCCGGAGAGGAAUCAAUCGAAUGUUGAUGUGUGCUGGAGAUGAAACAUUAACCAACUGUCCCGGAGACACAGGAGGGUCACUGCAAGUGAGGCUACUGUCUAGCUCAAAGUAUACCCCAUUUUUAGUCGGUGUUUCAGCGUUGGGCAUCCCCUGCGGUCAAACUACACCGGGGGUGUUCGCAAAAAUCUCCCACUACAUUGGCUGGAUUGAAGAUAUCACCAAGUUGAACUUUGCUCCGCAAGAAUGUGUCACACGACACAUUUCCCAGCGAGAGUCUGAUGAGGCUCUCGUUGCAUCCGAGUUAAAGACUGAUACCAGCCAGCCUUAUCUGACCGGUAAAAAAACAUCGACCACAGCCGAUCCCACCAGGGCACAGCUGCAGGUUUUUAAAGAGUUCAAGUGUGCCGUCGGAAAAGAUGGCGAGAACGUUGAUUGGAUCUGCGGCUGUACGUUAGUGGCUCAGGAUUUCGCACUGACAUCAGCCCGAUGCCUUAAAAAUGUCGAGGUCGACAUCGUCAACUACAAAAACGAUUGGAAGCGCAUAGAAGAGAUAAUCUUCCACCCCGAGUACGAUAAAAAAACGCUCUACAACGACCUGGCGUUGAUACGACUGCAAACCGAUAACAGGAAUCGGUACGAUUGGAAAUCUGUUUCUUGCAUCGGUGACAUCGAAGAUCAAAGGCAGUUUCUUUCGUUUGGAAUUGGACCGUACAACUUGAAUGACGAUGGCUCGAUAGAUAACAACACCGAUGGGACAGAGCGCUACCUGACAGCCACGCUUCAAUUGAUGGAAAGAGCCAAUUGUACCGAACACUACAAGAGUUACGGCAUCCUGAAGGACGGUAUCAACGAGACGCAAUUUUGUACGUGGUCCAGAGAUGCUUUGGUUCCGGGGGCGUGCGAACCGUGGAACGGGAAUGAGGUAUUGAAUGAAUUAAGGCCCGCCAGUGACACUAACCCGUUCCCGGAGGAUCUUAUCGGUGUUGGUUCCUAUGCACCGGAUUGUGGCUUCGGUGGCCGACCGAUGAUCAGCACAAGAGCAAUCGCUUUUCGCGAAUGGAUGAAUUCGGUUAUCUACAGAACGAUUAACGUCAAGGCCGUCAGGCAGGUGCUGAUGGAAAAGGAACUGGCGCUGGACUACAUCUGCGAGGCCUCGGACCGGGAAGCGGGAGUGUGUGUACAUAUUGACCACUGCAGUCAUCGUGCGCUAGUGGAUGAAAUCAAAUUUUGUACCAACGAAACGGCACCGAUAGUGUGCUGUCCGGUUAAUUCGUUCAUCGCAACGGCGCAUUUGCCACUGCUCACCGAAUGCGAAACCAAUUACCAGCGCUACCGGAAGAAGUACGUGGAUUUUGCCACGCCGGAAGGUCAUCGGGUCGAGGACGGGGAACAUCCGCACGCGGUGCUGAUCGGAUGGAAAGUCAACAGCACCGUCACCAAUUGGCACUGUAUGGGAACGUUAAUUAACAAAAACACGGUCCUAACGACUGCCGGAUGCACAAAUGCGGUCAAAAGACGCAGCCCGGAUGUAAUCAGCAUUGGCGAGUCUGACGUUGGGAAAAUCUUCGAUGGCGUUGCCCAAAUUAUACGUGUGAAAGAUACCAUCCGUUACCCGAGCUACAACUCCAAAACCCACGAGUACGACAUUGCCAUUCUGAAGCUGGAAUCCGAAGUAACUGUCAACGAGAAUGCAGUCCCGGCCUGUUUGUGGCGUGAUUUAAAUCGAACACCUUACUACACACAGGAGGUGCAGUUCAAUAAGCAGUUCCUCACCGCACGGGACAAGAACGUGGUGCACAACCGGGACUGCAAACAGUUCACUUCCCACACCGAGCUCAACAAUGACCAGAUGUGCUGGCAGGAGUUCAAGCUGCGUCCCGACGGAACCGAGGCGGAAAACUGCGGACGCCGGGGCGAUCCGUUUAUUUCGUUCCAGCGGAGCAACAAUAUCUAUCUGCCCUAUCUGGUGGGGUUGUACAGUUUUGGCGAUAAGUGCGCUUCCGGUGAACCUGUGCUGGCUACCAGGAUCUCAUCCUACCUCAACUGGAUUAGCCUAUACUUCUAGUAUAGAAACCGUCGAGCCAUCACGCCAAAGCAUGUAGGAUGAAAACAUGCGAUAGAAUAAAGUGUCUUGGAAAACGAUUUGUUGGUGACAACGCACGGACAUCCAUGAAAUGCACAACCAGAAACGAACCAGCGAAAUUUUGUAGUUACUGAGUACUAAGUUUCAGAAAUUCAUGGUGUUAUCUUCGAAAAAAAAAUCCACAGAUUUUC
Malaya genurostris is the source of this 3184-nucleotide RNA transcript. It is a transcript of the gene named transmembrane protease serine 9-like, with no coding region annotated. The record is from RefSeq and is a predicted model, not a curated record. Lineage: Eukaryota; Metazoa; Arthropoda; Insecta; Diptera; Culicidae. The transcript is spliced from 14 exons.